Cucurbita maxima (winter squash) is the source of this 1229-nucleotide long non-coding RNA. RefSeq lists it as uncharacterized. NCBI's taxonomy places the organism in Eukaryota, Viridiplantae, Streptophyta, Magnoliopsida, Cucurbitales, Cucurbitaceae. The record is from RefSeq and is a predicted model, not a curated record. The transcript is spliced from 3 exons.
AGCUUUAUAUCGUUCUUGUUUUGUGCUCCAACAAUUACAGACAGGCCAAAAUCCGAAAGCUGAACCCACAACACAAAAGGAGAAGAAUUUCAGGUUUGCAGUGCUCAUGCAGAUAUUCUAAUCCUCUGCUCAACAGUUUUCACAUUGUCAGAAACACUCACAAGCAGGGAAGCCCAAAACAAUGAGAAAUUAUCAGCCACUCCCAAUUUCCUCGUACACAAUAAGCCUUGAUUCUCCAUGAAUGGUGUAACCCAGAAGGCGGAUGAUGUUCGAGUGCUGAAUUUUGCUCAAUAGAUCAACUUCAUUCUGCCAAAUUUCAAGGUAUGGAGUUCAGUUUUCUUGUUGAUUGCUAGAGAAUAUAAGGAAUCAAAGAAACAGAACCUCAAAUUCUUUCUCUGCGUCCUUGUCGUUACAUUCUAGUUUCUUCACAGCAACAAAAAGGUUUUGUUCUAAACGAGCCUUGUAAACCCUUCCAAAUCCACCCUCCCCUAGAAUGUUACUUUCCUGGAAAACGUUGGUGGCUUUUUCCAGCACCUCGUAAUCAAUGAGUGGAACAGAUACUUUAUUGUGACCCACCAUUUUGUUUGAGCUGAAUUUUCGCAAAAUUGGAGCUAACCCAACCAGACCCUUCUCGGCAUCUUCAAAUCCAAAAAAAGAAACCCACCCGAUGUUAUAUUGGAGGAUAUGAUCGAUUCUAAUCGGAUAAAAACGGCAGAAGUGAGUUACCUGAGCUCUGAACGUUUUGUUUAUGGAAGUUGGGGGAGUUUCUUCUGUAAUAAACCCACAAAAACAGUGAAACCACUAAGACUGCACCGAAUGAAGCACAAACGAUAAGGACAAUCGGCAUUUUCUUGUGGGCUUCGCUUCUAAGGCUCUCCAUUUCCAUCGGAAUUCCUGGAAACACAAAACAGAGGAAAUUUGAAAACCAGCGCAGUGGAGAGGAAGAGAUCUGUUAAGUACCCACCUGGAGGGGAAGCAGCCAUGGAAUCCAAGAAUGGAGAAAUGGGAGAAGGAAACGGAGAGGCAGCCACCAAAAUAGAGAGGAAUGGAAGAGGAAGGGAAGGAAGAAGAAGAAGGGCGAGAGGAAGGAGAUGAAGAAGCUUCAUUGACGCAACUUUAUUUUUGUCACGGAUUACAUGAAAGGUACGAAGAAAGAGAGAGAUGGGUGUCGUCUGGUUCUGUGAAAACAAGAAAGAGGUCGUGAUUCUGGCUUCUUUUGGGAUUGGAAA